This 152-nucleotide unclassified non-coding RNA is filed under the name Ectopseudomonas oleovorans. Lineage: Bacteria; Pseudomonadati; Pseudomonadota; Gammaproteobacteria; Pseudomonadales; Pseudomonadaceae. The record is from RNAcentral.
CCUGGCAUGUACCUGCCAGUUCAUUAGAUCGGCAUGCGUCAGGGGCCAACCCUGGGGUGUGAAGCCGGAUUAACCUUAUUCCAGUUCCCGAACGCUUCGGGGAGAUCUCUCCAGGGGCAUCCCGUGCGCAUGCGGUACAGCAUGCCCUCCAC